This 305-nucleotide ribosomal RNA is filed under the name uncultured bacterium. RNAcentral describes it as "bacterial SSU rRNA". It matches the Rfam family "Bacterial small subunit ribosomal RNA", at positions 337 to 634 of the family's 1533-position model. The record is from RNAcentral.
CCCUACGGGACGCAGCAGUAGGGAAUUUUCGUCAAUGGGCGCAAGCCUGAACGAGCGAUGCCGCGUGAGUGAAGAAGGCCUUCGGGUCGUAAAGCUCUGUUGCGGGGGAAAAAAGGCAGCAUCAGGAAAUGGGUGCUGACUGAUGGUGCCCCGCCAGAAAGUCACGGCUAACUACGUGCCAGCAGCCGCGGUAAUACGUAGGUGGCGAGCGUUAUCCGGAAUGAUUGGGCGUAACGGGUGCGCAGGCGGUCCUGCCAGUCUGGAGUGAAACGCAUGAGCUCAACUCCUGCAUGGCUUUGGAAACU